Molecule: ribosomal RNA, 437 nt
Filed under: uncultured Oscillospiraceae bacterium
Lineage: Bacteria; Bacillati; Bacillota; Clostridia; Eubacteriales; Oscillospiraceae
Description: partial 16S ribosomal RNA
Rfam family: Bacterial small subunit ribosomal RNA
Source: RNAcentral
ACGGGAGGCAGCAGUGGGGAAUAUUGCACAAUGGGCGAAAGCCUGAUGCAGCAACGCCGCGUGAGGGAAGACGGUCUUCGGAUUGUAAACCUUUGUCCUUGGUGACGAAACAAAUGACGGUAGCCGAGGAGGAAGCCACGGCUAACUACGUGCCAGCAGCCGCGGUAAUACGUAGGUGGCAAGCGUUGUCCGGAUUUACUGGGUGUAAAGGGAGCGCAGGCGGGGGAGCAAGUCAGCUGUGAAAUAUACGGGCUUAACUCGUAGACUGCAGUUGAAACUGUUCUUCUUGAGUGAAGUAGAGGUAGGCGGAAUUCCGAGUGUAGCGGUGAAAUGCGUAGAGAUUCGGAGGAACACCAGUGGCGAAGGCGGCCUACUGGGCUUUAACUGACGCUGAGGCUCGAAAGUGUGGGGAGCAAACAGGAUUAGAUACCCUGGUA